This 253-nucleotide ribosomal RNA is filed under the name uncultured bacterium. Its description in RNAcentral is "partial 16S ribosomal RNA". It matches the Rfam family "Bacterial small subunit ribosomal RNA", at positions 524 to 776 of the family's 1533-position model. The record is from RNAcentral.
UACGGAGGGAGCUAGCGUUGUUCGGAAUUACUGGGCGUAAAGCGCGCGUAGGCGGCUUUGUAAGUUAGAGGUGAAAGCCCGGGGCUCAACCCCGGAAUUGCCUUUAAGACUGCAUCGCUUGAAUCCGGGAGAGGUGAGUGGAAUUCCGAGUGUAGAGGUGAAAUUCGUAGAUAUUCGCAAGAACACCGGUGGCGAAGGCGGGUCUCUGGGCCGAUACUGACGCUGAGGAGCGAAAGCGUGGGGAGCGAACAGG